UUAAUCUUUACCAUUCUCUAUUUCACAAGAAAUGUCCACCUCAUCAAAGGUAGCCCUGGGACGGAUCCGGAUAUCCGGGAAAUUUAAUGUAUCCGGAUCCGGAUCCGGAUCCGUCGGAUCCGGAUCCGGAUCCGUCGGAUCCGUGGAUUUAAUAUCCCAAAUAUUAAUAUUAAUAAAAUUUAAAAAUUUAAUGUAUUUUAAAAAUACGGAUCCGGAUCUUAAUCCGGAUAUCCGGACCUAAAAAUUAAGAUAUCCGGAUCCAGAUUCGGUUUGCACGGAUCCAAGAUUUUACUAUCCGAAUUCGGAUCCGGGCACCCCGGAUAUCCUAUUUUCGGAGCGGAUCCGGAGCGGAUCUCGAAUCGAAUCCGGAUCUCGGAUAAUAAGUCCCAGGCCUAAUCAAAGGUGCAUGCGUCCUUGAAAGUAUUUUAUCAAAAUGAAGUUAGUUUGUGCAUUUCGUUAAAUGCUAAUUGUUGCAGAUACCCAUUUAAUUCUGGUGGGGUUCUGUAAAUGACAAAUAAAAAAAGUCAUGAGUCUCAUGGCAGAAAAUGGUAGUGGCAAAGAAUAAUAUAGCUGACAGUGGGUUGUAGCAAAGCCACGUUGCAGCUCCAGUUUUCAGGAAAUCACCAUCGUUGAUUCAAGUGGUGGUAUUGUAUCCAAAGUUUCUUGUAUCCUUUUGAUUGUUUGAACAAAGUCUUAGCUUUUUCGAGGAAACUUCUAAUCGUAAUUCCGCAUGAAGUGUAGUGAUCUACAGUAGUUAUGUACAUAGAUUUCCGAUACAACAAGCUGU
This 787-nucleotide long non-coding RNA is filed under the name Brassica napus (rape). RNAcentral describes it as "long non-coding RNA (BNAP_LNC013771)". The record is from RNAcentral. Lineage: Eukaryota; Viridiplantae; Streptophyta; Magnoliopsida; Brassicales; Brassicaceae.